RNAcentral lists this ribosomal RNA (1444 nucleotides) under Rossellomorea marisflavi. Its description in RNAcentral is "bacterial SSU rRNA". It matches the Rfam family "Bacterial small subunit ribosomal RNA". Lineage: Bacteria; Bacillati; Bacillota; Bacilli; Caryophanales; Bacillaceae. The record is from RNAcentral.
AUACAUGCAAGUCGAGCGGAUCGAUGGGAGCUUGCUCCCUGAGAUCAGCGGCGGACGGGUGAGUAACACGUGGGUAACCUGCCUGUAAGACUGGGAUAACUCCGGGAAACCGGGGCUAAUACCGGAUAACACCUACCCCCGCAUGGGGGAAGGUUGAAAGGUGGCUUCGGCUAUCACUUACAGAUGGACCCGCGGCGCAUUAGCUAGUUGGUGAGGUAACGGCUCACCAAGGCGACGAUGCGUAGCCGACCUGAGAGGGUGAUCGGCCACACUGGGACUGAGACACGGCCCAGACUCCUACGGGAGGCAGCAGUAGGGAAUCUUCCGCAAUGGACGAAAGUCUGACGGAGCAACGCCGCGUGAGUGAAGAAGGUUUUCGGAUCGUAAAACUCUGUUGUUAGGGAAGAACAAGUGCCGUUCGAAUAGGGCGGCACCUUGACGGUACCUAACCAGAAAGCCACGGGCUAACUACGUGCCAGCAGCCGCGGUAAUACGUAGGUGGCAAGCGUUGUCCGGAAUUAUUGGGCGUAAAGCGCGCGCAGGUGGUUUCUUAAGUCUGAUGUGAAAGCCCACGGCUCAACCGUGGAGGGUCAUUGGAAACUGGGGAACUUGAGUGCAGAAGAGGAAAGUGGAAUUCCAAGUGUAGCGGUGAAAUGCGUAGAUAUUUGGGAGGGAACACCAGUGGCGAAGGCGACUUUUCUGGUCUGGUAACUGACACUGAGGGCGCGAAAAGCGUGGGGGAGCAAAACAGGAUUAGAUACCCCUGGUACUCCACGACCGUUAAACCGAUGAGUGGCUAAGUGUGAGAGGGUGUUUCCGCCCUUUAGUGCUGCAGCUAAACGCAUUAAGCACUCCGCCUGGGGAAGUACGGUCGCAAGACUGAAACUCAAAGGAAUUGACGGGGGCCCGCACAAGCGGUGGAGCAUGUGGUUUAAUUAGAAAGCAAACGCGAAGAACCUUACCAGGUCUUGACAUCCUCUGACAACCCUAGAGAUAGGGCUUUCCCCUUCGGGGGACAGAGUGACAGGUGGUGCAUGGUUGUCGUCAGCUCGUGUCGUGAGAUGUUGGGUUAAGUCCCGCAACGAGCGCAACCCUUGAUCUUAGUUGCCAGCAUUCAGUUGGGCACUCUAAGAUGACUGCCGGUGACAAACCGGAGGAAGGUGGGGAUGACGUCAAAUCAUCAUGCCCCUUAUGACCUGGGCUACACACGUGCUACAAUGGACGGUACAAAGGGCUGCAAGACCGCGAGGUUUAGCCAAUCCCAUAAAACCGUUCUCAGUUCGGAUUGUAGGCUGCAACUCGCCUACAUGAAGCUGGAAUCGCUAGUAAUCGCGGAUCAGCAUGCCGCGGUGAAUACGUUCCCGGGCCUUGUACACACCGCCAGUGCACACCACGAGAGUUUGUAACACCCGAAGUCGGUGAGGUAACCUUUUGGAGCCAGCCG